RNAcentral lists this ribosomal RNA (140 nucleotides) under Arachis hypogaea (peanut). Its description in RNAcentral is "5.8S ribosomal RNA". It matches the Rfam family "5.8S ribosomal RNA", at positions 24 to 154 of the family's 154-position model. Rfam says of the family: 5.8S ribosomal RNA (5.8S rRNA) is a component of the large subunit of the eukaryotic ribosome. It is transcribed by RNA polymerase I as part of the 45S precursor that also contains 18S and 28S rRNA. The record is from RNAcentral. Lineage: Eukaryota; Viridiplantae; Streptophyta; Magnoliopsida; Fabales; Fabaceae.
UCGCUCUUGCAUCGAUGAAGAACGUAGCGAAAUGCGAUACUUGGUGUGAAUUGCAAGAAUCCCGUGAACCAUCGAGUCUUUGAACGCAAGUUGCGCCCGAAGCCCUUAGGCUGGAGGGCACGCCUGCCUGGGUGUCAACC